RNAcentral lists this unclassified non-coding RNA (740 nucleotides) under Homo sapiens (human). Its description in RNAcentral is "glucosylceramidase beta 1 (ENSG00000262446.5)". Lineage: Eukaryota; Metazoa; Chordata; Mammalia; Primates; Hominidae. The record is from RNAcentral.
AGUAGGGUAAGCAUCAUGGCUGGCAGCCUCACAGGAUUGCUUCUACUUCAGGCAGUGUCGUGGGCAUCAGGUGCCCGCCCCUGCAUCCCUAAAAGCUUCGGCUACAGCUCGGUGGUGUGUGUCUGCAAUGCCACAUACUGUGACUCCUUUGACCCCCCGACCUUUCCUGCCCUUGGUACCUUCAGCCGCUAUGAGAGUACACGCAGUGGGCGACGGAUGGAGCUGAGUAUGGGGCCCAUCCAGGCUAAUCACACGGGCACAGGCCUGCUACUGACCCUGCAGCCAGAACAGAAGUUCCAGAAAGUGAAGGGAUUUGGAGGGGCCAUGACAGAUGCUGCUGCUCUCAACAUCCUUGCCCUGUCACCCCCUGCCCAAAAUUUGCUACUUAAAUCGUACUUCUCUGAAGAAGGUGAGGAGGAAGGGGACAAGAUGACAUAGAGCCAUUGAAACUUUUCGUUUUUCUUUUCUUUUUUUAAAAUUUUUUUGAGGCAGAAUCUCACUCUGCCCAUUCUGUCGGCGAGACAGGAGUGCAGUGGUGUGAUCUCCCCUCACAGCAACCUCUGCCUCCCAGGCUAUAGUGAUUCUCCUGCCUCAGCCUCCUGAGUAGCUGGAAUUAUAGGCGUGCGCCACUACCACCUGGCUACUCCAUUCACACCUACCUGUGGUGUCGCCAGUGAUGGAGCAGAUACUCAAGGAGGCACUGGGCUCAGCCUGGGCAUUAAAGGGACAGAGUCAGCUCA